This is a long non-coding RNA of Clupea harengus (Atlantic herring), 191 nucleotides long. RefSeq lists it as uncharacterized. The record is from RefSeq and is a predicted model, not a curated record. Lineage: Eukaryota; Metazoa; Chordata; Actinopteri; Clupeiformes; Clupeidae. The transcript is spliced from 3 exons.
AAACCUCUGGAUGCAGAAGCACUGAAAGACUCAAAAGGAAAUCUGUACUUCCUCAUAAGCUGUGCAAACAGUGGGAUGAAAAAUAUUCGUGUGAUCAUGGUUAGUAACAUCAAUGACAAUCCACCGGUCUUCGAAAAGGAUGAAUACAGGGUUAAUGUAUCAGAGGUAAGAACCUAUGUUUCUCACAAACU